Molecule: ribosomal RNA, 497 nt
Filed under: uncultured bacterium
Lineage: Bacteria
Description: partial 16S ribosomal RNA
Rfam family: Bacterial small subunit ribosomal RNA
Source: RNAcentral
GAUGAACGCUGGCGGCGUGCCUAAUACAUGCAAGUCGAGCGAACAGACGAGGAGCUUGCUCCUCUGACGUUAGCGGCGGACGGGUGAGUAACACGUGGAUAACCUACCUAUAAGACUGGGAUAAAUUCCGGAAACCGGAGCUCAUACCGGAUAAUAUAUUGAACCGCAUGGUUCAAUAGUGAAAGACGGUUUUGCUGUCACUUAUAGAUGGAUCCGCGCCGCAUGAGCUAGUUGGUAAGGUAACGGCUUACCAAGGCAACGAUGCGUAGCCGACCUGAGAGGGUCAUCGGCCACACUGGAACUGAGACACGGUCCAGACUCCGACGGGAGGCAGCAGUAGGGAAUCUUCCGCAAUGGGCGAAAGCUUGACGGAGCAACGCCGCGUGAGUGAUGAAGGUCUUCGGAUCGUAAAACUCUGUUAUUAGGGAAGAACAAAUGUGUAAGUAACUAUGCACGUCUUGACGGUACCUAAUCAGAAAGCCACGGCUAACUACGUG